UGGGAGGUCGUUCAACGGUAGGACAUCGCGCUCUGGACGCGAUUAUUGGGGUUCGAAUCCCUACCUCCCAGCCA
Molecule: transfer RNA, 74 nt
Filed under: Acidobacteriota bacterium
Lineage: Bacteria; Pseudomonadati; Acidobacteriota
Also listed under: 1 other name
Description: Acidobacteria bacterium (activated sludge metagenome) tRNA-Gln
Rfam family: tRNA
About the family: Transfer RNA (tRNA) molecules are approximately 80 nucleotides in length.
Source: RNAcentral